GAUACUAUCGAGCAAUCUGAUCUUUAUAGUACCUAUUCUGAUGGUGUUAUUAUCGUCAUUGCCCAUUAGAACAAUAUCAGCACUGCAAUCCUUCUUUGCAAGGACAUGUAUGAAGCAUUGAGAGUCUAGUGUCCCUGAAUCGAAUAGAGAUCUAUUGCUUGUAGUUUUAUUAAAAUCUCUGCUUGGCCGCUUUCAUCUUCAUUGUUGACAAUAUUUAUUUUUUCUAGCCUCUGAUUUUGCUUCCAGUUCUCUCAUCAAUUUGCUGCAAAAUUUUCUGAUGCUUCUCUACUCUUGGUAUUAUUAGAAUAGUCAAUGUUUAGAAAAACUAAUUGAGGCUUAUGCCUCUAAUCCCACCUCGCGUGAGGCUUUCAUAAAACACCUUGAAUCCCACUUCUUAAGUGCCAUUUGGGAGGCUUAUGCCUUUGACUUAGGGAGGCUUAGCCUAAGCCUCAAGAUGACUAAGUUGUUUGCUCUUUUGUCUUGC
Molecule: long non-coding RNA, 484 nt
Filed under: Olea europaea (common olive)
Lineage: Eukaryota; Viridiplantae; Streptophyta; Magnoliopsida; Lamiales; Oleaceae
Description: long non-coding RNA (OEUR_LNC014899)
Source: RNAcentral